AUUGAACGCUGGCGGCAGGCCUAACACAUGCAAGUCGAACGAGUGGCGGACGGGUGAGUAAUGUCUGGGAAACUGCCCGAUGGGGGGGGAUCACUACUGGAAACGGUAGCUAAUACCGCAUACCAUCGGAUGUGCCCAGGUGGGUUUAGCUAGUAGGUGGGGUAAAGGCUCACCUAGGCGACGAUCCCUAGCUGGUCUGAGAGGAUGACCAGCCAAACUGGAACUGAGACACGGUCCAGACUCCUACGUGAGGCAGCAGUGGGGAAUAUUGCACAAUGGGCGCAAGCCUGAUGCAGCCAUGCCGCGUGUAUGAAGAAGGCCUUCGGGUUGUAAAGUACUUUCAGCGAGGAGGCGUUACCCGCAGAAGAAGCACCGGCUAACUCCGUGCCAGCAGCCGCGGUAAUUC
Molecule: ribosomal RNA, 406 nt
Filed under: uncultured bacterium
Lineage: Bacteria
Description: partial 16S ribosomal RNA
Rfam family: Bacterial small subunit ribosomal RNA
Source: RNAcentral